This 393-nucleotide ribosomal RNA is filed under the name uncultured bacterium. Its description in RNAcentral is "partial 16S ribosomal RNA". It matches the Rfam family "Bacterial small subunit ribosomal RNA", at positions 523 to 918 of the family's 1533-position model. The record is from RNAcentral.
AUACGGAGGAUCCGAGCGUUAUCCGGAUUUAUUGGGUUUAAAGGGUGCGCAGGCGGGGGACUCAGUCGGUGGUGAAAUCUUUCAGCUUAACUGUAAGCGUGCCAUUGAUACUGGUUUUCUUGAGUGUGGAUGAAGUAGGCGGAAUUUGUGGUGUAGCGGUGAAAUGCAUAGAUAUCACGAGGAACUCCGAUUGCGUAGGCAGCUUACUAAACCAUAACUGACGCUCAUGCACGAAGGCGUGGGGAUCAAACAGGAUUAGAUACCCUGGUAGUCCACGCUGUAAACGAUGAUUACUGGCUGUUUGCGAUACACAGUAAGCGGCCCAGCGAAAGCGUUAAGUAAUCCACCUGGGGAGUACGUUCGCAAGAAUGAAACUCAAAUGAAUUGACGGGG